Molecule: long non-coding RNA, 723 nt
Organism: Zingiber officinale
Lineage: Eukaryota; Viridiplantae; Streptophyta; Magnoliopsida; Zingiberales; Zingiberaceae
Exons: 2
Source: RefSeq, a predicted model, not a curated record
UUUUUCUGUGCAUAAUUUCUGCAUAUAAGCUUUUAGGUUUUCCACAUCCAAACUCUAGUGUCUUAUUUCUCACUUUCCUAUCAUCUAUACAAGACAACUGCAAGAUCACAGGUAGAAUAACUAGAACCAAAGUUGUCAGAACAAAUUUAAGCUUACUAGAUUUACUUACUGCCAAUAAUUCAUCUAACUUGUUUAAAACUUUUAUAAUUUGUUAUUUUUUUUAGAAAAGUAGCUAGAAUUCUUUUUAAAAUGUUUAUUUUCUUAAGAAAAAGUCAAUUAGAGGAUUUAUUAGGAUAAGUUGAGUCAUUAUUUAUAAAGAUGAGAUAUUGUCAAUUUAUAAAGGGGUAAAGAACACAUGCAUCAUGACAAUUUUCAGUUAAUAAAGUUUUUUUUUUUCUUUUUCAAUUCCUUGUGUGAGAUCUUCUUUCUCUAUGUGAGGUUGUUAUCCAAGAUAAAGUGGGUUCAUUCAUAAUGAUGCGUGCUUUGGAACGCAAGUGUGUUCUUUUGAGCAUUUAUUCCAGCAAUAUCAACUACAGGUUUAGCUGCAGAAAAGACUAGAAAUCUGCAAAACUUUAUGCUAUCAAUCAGACAAGGAUAGAAUGACUCCAGAAAUUAUCUGACCUGUCCAAAAGUCAUUCUCUUCUUAGAGCUCUAAAGUAAACAAUAAUCUUCUUCUGAUGCAAGACUAGCGCUUGGCUGAAACUUGAAUUAAAUGGCCAAUCU